UGACUGAGGGACAAUAUUCCUAAGUAUGGCCUCAAGCAAGCGAGGUUAGUAAGCAUCAUUGGUUUGUUAUGUGGCACUCUGAACAAACUUGAUGUUGAAUUUGAAUUUCAAACAAAAAUACAAAGCUUAUGACCAUUUUCUGUGGAGAAUGAUGUGGAUGCCAGUGGCCUUUUUUUUUUCGGGGGAGGGAUCGGAGUUUACUUAAAUGUGCAAACUGGUUCUGAAUUACAGUUGAUCUUAUGGUAAUGUUGCAAAUUAUUUUGAAAGCAAACCAUUACAGUACUGUGUAGAAGCAGUUGAAAAAAAAAGAAGAGUUUACCAGAAACGUUUAACAAACAUUUGUAAUGAUAAGUUUGAUUAUACCUCACAGAAGUCUUUUCCCCCCUAGGCUUUCCAAGGAAGUACAAAAAAGCUCAAGAUAUUUUUAACAAUGCUACCAGAGGAGGAAAGAGCCAGGCCAAUGAUUGUCACAGUCUCAGCGCUUGAGAACAAGGAGCCAAUUACGAAAUUUUUUUUCAAUUGUCUGGCUUUGGUUCAGAAAGAUGCCAGUCCUACAAAACAAAUGCCUCACAAACCUUCAUCAGGGAUCAUAGUAACAGUGUAAGCUCAAAUAUUUUUAAGAAUCAAAAACCAUUUUCUCAAUAAUAAAAUAUUCCAGAAAUAUGUGGUGCUUAAGGUUGCCCAAGUCAAUUUGAUUCUGAAAGUCUCAUGAGAAUGCUGGGGAUUGCACAGUAGGCAGAGUCCUGGCCUCCCACUGCUGUGGCCAGGGUUUAAUUCCAAGAGCUGGCAUCACCUGUGGGUUCAGUUUGUUGUUGGUUCUCAUCCUUGGCUCAGUGGUUUUUCUCCAGGUCCCCAGUUUUGCUCCCUUCCACAAAAACCAACAUUACAAAUUCCAAUUCGACCAGGAAACAGUGGACAAGAAGAGCCACCACAUUGAAUAACCACUGCUACAAUGCAAUUGUUAUAAUUAUAGUUGCUU
Stylophora pistillata is the source of this 979-nucleotide long non-coding RNA. Lineage: Eukaryota; Metazoa; Cnidaria; Anthozoa; Scleractinia; Pocilloporidae. The record is from RefSeq and is a predicted model, not a curated record.